Molecule: unclassified non-coding RNA, 310 nt
Filed under: plant metagenome
Description: partial contains 5.8S ribosomal RNA, internal transcribed spacer 2, and large subunit ribosomal RNA
Rfam family: 5.8S ribosomal RNA (bases 1-105)
Source: RNAcentral
GAAAUGCGAUAAGUAGUGUGAAUUGCAGAAUUCAGUGAAUCAUCGAAUCUUUGAACGCACCUUGCGCCCCUUGGUAUUCCAUGGGGCAUGCCUGUUCGAGCGUCAUUUGUACCCUCAAGCUCUGCUUGUUGUUGGGUGUUUGUCCCCGUCUCCGCGCGUGGACUCGCCCCAAAGUGAUUGGCAGCCGGCGUACUGGUCCCGGAGCGCAGCACAUGUCGCGCAAACGAGUGCCUUGGUACGGCGGCGUCCAUAAGCCCCUCUCUCACGCUCUUGACCUCGGAUCAGGUAGGGAUGCCCGCUGAACUUAAGC